This 363-nucleotide ribosomal RNA is filed under the name uncultured bacterium. Its description in RNAcentral is "partial 16S ribosomal RNA". It matches the Rfam family "Bacterial small subunit ribosomal RNA", at positions 355 to 714 of the family's 1533-position model. The record is from RNAcentral.
UGAGGAAUAUUGGUCAAUGGGUGCAAGCCUGAACCAGCCAUCCCGCGUGAAGGACGACUGCCCUAUGGGUUGUAAACUUCUUUUGUAUAGGGAUAAACCUACCCUCGUGAGGGUAGCUGAAGGUACUAUACGAAUAAGCACCGGCUAACUCCGUGCCAGCAGCCGCGGUAAUACGGAGGGUGCAAGCGUUAUCCGGAUUUAUUGGUUUAAAGGGUCCGUAGGCGGACUUAUAAGUCAGUGGUGAAAGCCUGUUCGCUUAACGAUAGAACUGCCAUUGAUACUGUAAGUCUUGAGUAUAUUUGAGGUAGGCUGGAAUAAGUAGUGUAGCGGUGAAAUGCAUAGAUAUUACUUAGAACACCAAUU